MicroRNA precursor from Cyprinus carpio (common carp), 93 nucleotides. The record is from Ensembl. NCBI's taxonomy places the organism in Eukaryota, Metazoa, Chordata, Actinopteri, Cypriniformes, Cyprinidae.
GGUGUGUGUGCUGCAGCUGGUGUUGUGAAUCAGGCCGAUGUCACACGUCCGCGAUAACCCGGCUAUUUCACAACACCAGGGUGGCACCACACC